RNAcentral lists this transfer RNA (73 nucleotides) under Crenarchaeota archaeon 13_1_20CM_2_51_8. RNAcentral's name for it is "tRNA-Cys". Lineage: Archaea; Thermoproteati; Thermoproteota. The record is from RNAcentral.
CCGGUGGCUCAGCCUGGUAGAUGCGUUGCGCGCAAGGCAAGGGUCACGAGUUCAAAUCUCGUCCGGGGCUCCA